UACGUAGGCAGCGAGCGUUGUUCGGAAUUACUGGGCGUAAAGUGUGCGCAGGCGGCUUCGCAAGUCGAGUGUGAAAUCCCCAGGCUCAACUUGGGAACUGCAUCCGAUACUGGAUGGCUUGAAUUCGGGAGAGGGAUGUGGAAUUCCAGGUGUAGCGGUGAAAUGCGUAGAUAUCAGGAGGAACACCGGUGGCGAAGGCGGCUUUCUGGACAGAAACUGACGCUGAUGCGCGAAAGCUAGGGGAGCAAACAGG
This 253-nucleotide ribosomal RNA is filed under the name uncultured bacterium. RNAcentral describes it as "partial 16S ribosomal RNA". It matches the Rfam family "Bacterial small subunit ribosomal RNA", at positions 524 to 776 of the family's 1533-position model. The record is from RNAcentral.